Peromyscus maniculatus bairdii (prairie deer mouse) is the source of this 1699-nucleotide non-coding RNA. The record is from RefSeq and is a predicted model, not a curated record. Lineage: Eukaryota; Metazoa; Chordata; Mammalia; Rodentia; Cricetidae.
GCAGAACUACCAAGGUAUGGCAGUUGAGUGGCACUUCCUCAGAAUUCAGCCAUAGAAUCUGUCCCUUCUCUAAUGAAGUGUCCAUCAUCGUUUCUGCAAAUGUGUCAUGCAUCCUCACUAAAGGACUCAGUGACGUCCCAAAAACCUAUCAGUUAUUCUUGCCCAGGAACGGGAGGUGACCAGAGAGAAAGGAGGCCCCCGGAGAUGGAGGAUGCACACCAGUAAGGACAGUCAGUGCCUGUCACUCCAGGCCUCCUGACACCCAAGAAGGCUCCUCUCCAUUGUGUCGGCUGUCCCCCUGCAGCAGUAAGUUCCCGUGACAUGUCCUCACGGAGACUCGGUUUGUGCCUACUCACUUCUGCUCCCACUCAUCGCCUAAUCCGCCACCCUGUUAGAAUUCUUUCCACCACUGUCACAAUCUAUAGUUUCUUUGUUGCUUCAUUUUCUGUCAGCUCAACCAGAAUGUGCGCACUACAGCAGCAGGAGCCUCCCUGUCCAUUCUCAGCUGUGUGUGUUCCCGGUACAGCACAGUGCACACAGUAGGCACUCAACACGUGAUUUCUUGAAUAAAGGAAGAAAUGAGUGAGAAUAUUUUUUUCCAGUGAGCUUGAGAACAUCAUUUUCUCCACCGAAUCAAGCGCGGUGGUGUCCUUUGGCCACAUGGCCAAUGGGCGGAUUUUGCUGGAAUGUAUUGGUUUACAAAUGUUUAACUAUCAACUUACUUAUCUGCCUACUCUGAAAAUGAGAUUCUGCAUGAUUAAAAAAAAAAACGGCUUUGGAAUUUGUACUAAGCCAACUUUGUACACGGUACAGAAUGUUCUCAGAAGCAGCAGGACUCAUGAAUAAUAAGGCAGUGGCACUUCCUGGACUCGGCAGCCUUCCUUGGCCUGUGCUCUCCUGACCACAAACCUUUUGCCUGCUGACCUGGAUCUGAGUUCUCUCCUCCCUCAAGCGAGAUACCAGAUCAACUCUAAGGGAGCCACCUUUACCCUGGAUCUUGGCUGUCACUUGUAGUCGCCAUCAACUCUUCCUACACAAGCACACACUUAAAACACUGAUACUGUAUAAAAAGAACAUAAUUAACACCACAAACUGUGGCCGGCAGAGACCCUCACCAAAGCAGCAGUGUUCCAUUCUAACUGUUAAUGCUGGCUUACUCCAGAUGACCAAGCUGAAUGAACACAACCUGCAGGAAGCUUGAGUCUACUUCCCAGCAGACACCAGCCACGCAGAAGAAGCAUGGAGAGGAAGACUCUGACCUGGACUCAGGUUGGCUCUGGUUCAGAGCAUGCCUCUGAGAAGUCAGGUCCAAAGGCCCAAGAGUACAGACCAAGUCAAGGCUUCUUGUGCUUCUCAGCGCCACACAGAAGUAAUUCUCCACAGAUGCCCUUUGCAGCAGCCUACUCACACUGAAACAGACUUCCAGAGACUGAGGAAGCCUAGACUCACUCUACCUCUCACACGGGCAGAGGUAGUCUUAGAAGCCCCAGAUGUUCCCAGAAUGUGGCACUCAGGAGCUGGGACCUUGUUCCUGGACAGAAACAGGGUCUUACCCCUCCAUAGAAGGAAGGUGUCUGCAGUGGCCAGAGGCAGUGGCUCUUCUGAUGGGACAAAGGACAGUUGGGGACAGCAUUGGGGGCUGCAUGAUGGUGUCCGCAUCCCUGUGGUUCACCCUCACAGAAAUAAACAGUUAACAGCA